Molecule: ribosomal RNA, 1443 nt
Filed under: Triticum aestivum (bread wheat)
Lineage: Eukaryota; Viridiplantae; Streptophyta; Magnoliopsida; Poales; Poaceae
Description: partial small subunit ribosomal RNA
Source: RNAcentral
AUGGACCUCUCUUCCAACUUCUUGGUAGGAAGCAUCCCAGAAUCCUUUGGACAACUUAAUAUGUUAACUUUCAUAAAUCUAUCGCACAACUCCUUCAAAGGUUUUAUUCCGGGCACACUCGAAAAGCUAAAAGGCUUGGCAUCAUUAGACCUCUCAUCUAACAACCUCUCUGGUAGCAUUCCCAUGUUCUUUGCCAACUUUUCUUACUUGACUAUCUUGAACCUCUCAUUCAAUAAUCUGGAAGGCCAGAUACCCGAGGGGGGUGUUUUCUCAAACCUCACCUUUCAGUCUUUGAUUGGGAAUGAUGAUCUAUGUGGUGCUCCGCGUCUUGGAUUUUUGACAUGCCUUGACAUGCCUCGCUCAAGUAAUAGAAAAUUGCUACAAAUUUUAAUCCCAACACUCACACUAGUUGUUGGUGCGAUUGCCAUUUGCAUAUACCUAUGGUCUAGAAAGAAACUUAACAUGGGAAAUGAGAUAACGGUUGAUGAUCUAACAAAUGUGGCUGGUUACCAGAUAGUCUCCUAUCAUGAGCUCAUUCGUGCCACCAAUAGUUUCAAUGAAGAAAACAUCUUAGGCUCAGGAAGCUUUGGAAAAGUCUUCAAGGGCCAAUUGAGCACUGGUUUGGUGGUGGCGAUAAAAGUUCUUGACAUGCAGCUAGAGCAGGCCAUCCGAAGUUUUGACGUCGAGUGUCAAGUGCUUCGCAUGGCACGACAUCGCAACCUAAUCAAGAUACUCAACACAUGUUCCAACCUUGACUUCAGAGCACUAGUGCUUCAGUACAUGCCAAAUGGCAGCUUAGAGACGCUCCUACACCAGUCUGACAGUUCAUGGCACCUUGGGUUCCUUGAGAGACUAGGUAUCAUGCUCGACGUGUCGAUGGCAAUGGAGUAUUUGCACCAUGAGCACUAUGAACUGAUCUUGCACUGUGACUUGAAGCCUAGCAAUGUGUUGUUUGAUGAGGAGAUGACGGCACAUGUGGCAGACUUUGGCAUUGCAAGGUUGAUUCUAGACGACAACUCCAUGAUAUCUGCGAGCAUGCCUGGAACAGUUGGAUAUAUGGCACCAGAAUAUGGGUCUCUUGGGAAAGCAUCACGGAAGAGUGACGUGUUCAGUUAUGGAAUCAUGCUCCUUGAAGUCUUCACUGGAAGGAGACCCACCGAUGCAAUGUUUGGCGCACAACUAACCCUCAGGCAGUGGGUUCAUCAGGCAUUUCCUGCAGAGCUUGUCCGAGUCAUUGAUGGACAGUUACUGCAAGACUCCUCUGCUACUUUCUGCAGCUUGGAAGAUGGCUUUCUUGCAUCGGUGUUCGAGCUGGGUUUACUCUGCUCUGACGACUCGCCUGGCCAGAGGAUGACAAUGCAUGAUGUGGUUGUGACACUUAAGAAGAUCAAAGGCGAGUACACAACAAAACACACAGCGACAAUGUCACGUAAUGUUGCAUAG